AAAGACCUCUUUCCUUAGCAUUCCAUCCAAAAUCUACUAUUACAGUUUUGUUUAAUCCCCAUACUACCCUUAUAAUUACUAUUCAGACACUUUUAACCCUCUUGAGUUAUAUCUCACCUUGUUUCUCUCUUGCAUUCGGUUUCUCCCAAUAAGGGAUUUCUCCUUUGUGACCAAGCUUCUACUUCUUCACCAAGUUCCUAGUUACAGUAGAAAGGGAUUUCUUCUUCCUCACGAGUUUCAGCCACACAGGAUUUGUUUCAGUCGCAAUUUCUGAGUUACAGUAGCAAGAGAUUUCUUCUUCCACACAAGUUUCAGCCACAGUAUUUGUUUCAGUCGUAAUUUCUGAGUUACAGUAGCAAAGGAUUUCUUCUUCCUCACGAGUUUCAGCCACACAGGUUUUGUUUCAGUCGCAAUUUCUGAGUUAAGGCCCAGGGGCUCGGGAAAAGAGCAGUUUCAUUCUUCGGUGUCUCCCCCCUUCCACUAUCAUAGAGCGAGCAUCAAAGAAAAAAUCAUGCGGUGAUCCAAACUCAAAUCUUAAUAACAAGAAAAUUUGCUGUUGAAAUAGCUCAAGAGAGGGUGCUAUUAAGAUGAAUUUUGAUACUUCACAGAAUGAUAAUGAUUUAUGUUCGAUUGUUUGCAUUGCCAGAAACCAUUUUGGGGUUGUCCUUUAUUCCAUAGGCUUGAAUUUGAUUAGUGUUGCUGAAGCUUGGGCUAUGUAAGAAAUUCAUAAUGUCAGGAAUCAUGUCAUCAGUAUGGAAGGGGACUCACUCCUUGUGAUCUCAUGUGUUAAGAAGCAAAUUGGAAUUUCAUGGAGAUUGAAACAGUGUAUAUUGGAUAAAUAACGAGUUGAAGGGUAGUCCUACUGCAUCAUUAUCUACAGGUACUCAAGUGCCCCAAAACACAAUAUUAUGGCAUUGUGUCCCACAAUAUAUAAUCAAGGUGGACUUAAUUCAAUUGAUGUGACUUAGAAUCUGAGCAGCCCAAUGUCCAAACUAUUCUUCAGUGGCAUAAAUUCAAUCUGUCCAAUUUCAGUGGAUA
Nelumbo nucifera (sacred lotus) is the source of this 1038-nucleotide long non-coding RNA. RefSeq lists it as uncharacterized. Lineage: Eukaryota; Viridiplantae; Streptophyta; Magnoliopsida; Proteales; Nelumbonaceae. The record is from RefSeq and is a predicted model, not a curated record.